This 437-nucleotide ribosomal RNA is filed under the name Pseudo-nitzschia fraudulenta. Its description in RNAcentral is "partial Eukaryotic large subunit ribosomal RNA". It matches the Rfam family "Eukaryotic large subunit ribosomal RNA", at positions 1 to 442 of the family's 3401-position model. Lineage: Eukaryota; Bacillariophyta; Bacillariophyceae; Bacillariales; Bacillariaceae. The record is from RNAcentral.
AUGAAGUUAGGUCAGCAAACCCGCUGAAUUUAAGCAUAUAAGUAAGCGGAGGAUAAGAAACUAAAUAGGAUUCCCUCAGUAAUGGCGAAUGAACAGGGAAUAGCUCAGGAUGGAAAUCGGGGCCCCAGGCCUUGAAUUGUAAUCUGGAGAAGCACCACCAACUGGGGCGCAGAUGUAAGCCUCUUGGAAAAGAGCAUCGGAGAGGGUGAGAGUCCCGUCUGGCAUCUGCAGUCCCUAGUGUACGGUGUGCUUUCUAAGAGUCACGUUCCUCGGGAUUGGAGCGCAAAUCGGGUGGUAAAUUUCAUCUAAAGCUAAAUAUUGGUUCGAGACCGAUAGCAAACAAGUACCAUGAGGGAAAGGUGAAAAGGACUUUGAAAAGAGAGUUAAAAGUGCCUGAAAUUGCUGAAGGGGAAGCGAAUGGGACCAGUGAAACUUGG